GUCAAAAUUAGGAGAGUAGAAACUUACUUUGUUUAAUUGACCACUGACUACACUUACUGGCCAUGAAAAUGCCCUUAGCUUUUAGUUGGCUUGUAUAGCAAGAAGACCUACAGAUGUUCAAUGGGUUCCCUCAAUUCAGAAGAUGAAGAGAUAUCUCAAAAUCCUGGAAACCUGGAUCUUCGCUAUAAAAUGCUAGUCUAAGGCACCUGGAGGGCUCACUUGGUUUCAAGACAAUCUCCUGCCAUCUCUACUUACUCCCGAGUAAGAGGGUUCUAAUGAAGUCACCAUGGGUGAUGAAGCUGAGCCCAGAGGUCCUCUCCUGCAGGGACUGUUUCUGCUGCCUGGUUGUUAGCUGUAUGACUACUGUCUUUGUCCUUUCUGCAGGGAAAGGCGCUCAAAGAAAGGAGAAAGGAUUCAGAAAAGAAAUGUGGCUGCAUUUAUCCUGGGACUUUGAGGUAAAAAGACCAGCACUUACAUGCAAAAAACAAAACCAGCAAAAAUCGUUGUAACCAGCAAAGAAGAAUCCCUCAUCAUCACCUCCUUAUUCUCCUGCUGCUGCCAGACAUCAACUCUGGACUCCUCCUUUGGAAUUGCCCUUGGAGCUUAUUUAUAAACCAAAAAAGUGGUCUCAUUAAUCACAUCUUUCUAUUUGACCUAAAAUUAUAUCACCUAACAUUGUCAACCGCCUUCUUUAGUUCAAUCUGCUUCAUAGAGCUUUCUGUACAGGAUGACAUCAGGAUGAUAUUCAAAGUAUUUGACAAUGCAGGCCAUUCAGAAUAGAUGCUGAUUAUGACCAACAGUUUUACCUGCAGUGGUAUAUAACCUCUGAAUAUCAAUUCUGCUCUUUUGUUCCUCAAUAGUUGUUGAAAUAAAAACACCCUAUUUAUGGCAAACUUUGA
Long non-coding RNA from Suricata suricatta (meerkat), 899 nucleotides. RefSeq lists it as uncharacterized. The transcript has 4 exons. The record is from RefSeq and is a predicted model, not a curated record. NCBI's taxonomy places the organism in Eukaryota, Metazoa, Chordata, Mammalia, Carnivora, Herpestidae.